This 484-nucleotide ribosomal RNA is filed under the name uncultured bacterium. RNAcentral describes it as "partial 16S ribosomal RNA". It matches the Rfam family "Bacterial small subunit ribosomal RNA", at positions 30 to 507 of the family's 1533-position model. The record is from RNAcentral.
AUUGAACGCUGGCGGCAGGCCUAACACAUGCAAGUCGAGCGGAUGAAGGGAGCUUGCUCCUGGAUUCAGCGGCGGACGGGUGAGUAAUGCCUAGGAAUCUGCCUGGUAGUGGGGGAUAACGUCCGGAAACGGGCGCUAAUACCGCAUACGUCCUGAGGGAGAAAGUGGGGGAUCUUCGGACCUCACGCUAUCAGAUGAGCCUAGGUCGGAUUAGCUAGUUGGUGGGGUAAAGGCCUACCAAGGCGACGAUCCGUAACUGGUCUGAGAGGAUGAUCAGUCACACUGGAACUGAGACACGGUCCAGACUCCUACGGGAGGCAGCAGUGGGGAAUAUUGGACAAAGGGCGAAAGCCUGAUCCAGCCAUGCCGCGUGUGUGAAGAAGUUCUUCGGAUUGUAAAGCACUUUAAGUUGGGAGGAAGGGCAGUAAGUUAAUACCUUGCUGUUUUGACGUUACCAACAGAAUAAGCACCGGCUAACUUCGUG